CAUGCUUUCCAAUCCAUUCGUGUCCAUGUAUUUUGGUGCGGCAUAUUUGGCAUGGUUAUCAGAAUAUGAAGGGAGGGAAAGAACUCCACAGUUUGUUGUUCAGGCUUAUAUGGCCGGGCCAAAGAAUGCGAAUCUUCAGGAGACAGGUCCAAUUUGUCUCAAAUUCCAGCAAACAUUGAGUAAUUAUGAAGACACGAAGAGGGAUGAAGUGGGCUGCACCAUCUUGUAAGCUGACAAAUAUCACUUUACAUUUUUCAAAAGAUCAUCUGUGAAGCUUUAAG
This is a long non-coding RNA of Juglans microcarpa x Juglans regia, 281 nucleotides long. RefSeq lists it as uncharacterized. NCBI's taxonomy places the organism in Eukaryota, Viridiplantae, Streptophyta, Magnoliopsida, Fagales, Juglandaceae. The record is from RefSeq and is a predicted model, not a curated record. The transcript is spliced from 3 exons.